UUGUCAUUUAAAAAGACGAGUAUAAUUUCACAAAAAAACUCAUAUAAUUUUUAACGUUAGUGAGUAUCCAAGGAACAAAAAUACAAGUCUACAUAUCACUUUUGUGUAGGGUAAUUUUUUGAAAUAUUUACAGAGACAGAAACCCUUGUUUUACGGUCGCCACCCACACAUAUGGCUGCCAUAUCUCCGUCGUAAUACGCCACCGCUCCACCACCGCAUAGCCACCACUGAUCUGUUUCACGUAGCUGUGUUCGGCUAAAACCCUAACCACCGUAGCUCCAAUUUCACUCAGCGGUUCAUCUUCAAACGCUCACUUAACACAUCUGACAAACACAACCACUCAAUUGAUAAUGAGUUCCGGACGCCAGUUAAGAAGCCAGUCAAAAAAGGACCUACCAACAUCACAACCAUUUCAAACGAAAAGCACGCCAAACGACUUGUGUUGUGUGUUAAACGGGCUGAGUGCUGCUCAAAAGGCUGAUAUAAAAGAUAUGGGAUUUGAAUCUCUAACAGCUUUUAACAUACGCAACAUACCAGCGGGAUUGGGUCAUUGGUUGUUGGACAACUAUUCUCAUGAAACGAACGAAUUAAACGUUGGCAGCCAUGUGAUUAAAGUAACACCUUUAAAGGUUCAUUGUUUUCGGAGUGCCUAUGGGGGAUAUUCCCGUAUCUGAACAUAAAAGGAAGAGAAUGAUAGACGUUUUUAGAGACGAAUGGAAGAAUAAGUUCUUUCAAACGAGUAUAACUAUUAACGAUGUAAUUAAACAGCUUAAAUCACAAAGGACAGGCGGAACACUUUUCAAGCUUAACUUUCUUGUUCUCUUCAACUCUAUCAUGGGCGAGACAACUAAGCGUGCAACCGUAAAUCCAAAAUUUCUUGCAUCAAUCAUGGAUGAAGGCGACAUCUAUAAAAUGACUUUCAUAACGCAACAGGUACUAUAGCACACGAACUGCAACUGAAACGUAAUCCUGAAAACGCAAUAACCCCGGCCAUAAAAUAUGUGACAACUGAUUACUUAGUUGGUCUCGAGAGUUCUCUGCAUGGAAUUGGACCGUGUUCAAAUGAUAAUGUUGAAGGUCAAACUGAUGUUGACCAAAAUGUUAAUGUGUCUCGAGAUGAGGAAGGUGAAGCUCAAUUUCAUUCAACCAAUGCGGAUGUAACUUCUCGUCAUUUAUCAUAUUUAAAGUUACCCACUGGUGAUGCUACUCGGAAAUUCAGGGAUAGACGCAUCAGCCAUUGUAACCAACUUGAACCGCUUAGAGACGAGAAUUUACUCGAUCGUGAUGAUAUAGAAAUCAUAGAACCCAAAGAGGAAGAAUGUGAGUUGGAUGAAAAUGCAUCUCGUACGUACGUCUGAUUCUCUGGAAAAUCGCUCCGCUCGUAAAAGUGUGAUGGUCUAUGUGAAAACGUACAAAGUGAAUCGCGAUAUUGCACCGACUCUUAUAGACAUUAUGAGGAACAUGGGGACAUUGCAGCUGCAUGCGUCUUGACUUCGGAUUUGAAAUCAUCAAUCGUUGAGUCUGUUUGUAAAGUUUUCAAGCGGAUUCAAACCAAUGAUAUUGUGGAAAUGGUAGAAGAAGAGAAGCGGGUGUCGGAUGCAAAGAAACUCAACAUUGAUGUGUCAUGGCUUGAACCUCUCUUGGAAGCUGUUCGCAAGAGGAAAGAGGCCAAUAAACACUACGGUUUGUGUUUGGAAAUGAAAGCAGGCGUCAUUAUGGCUAAAAGAGCUGCCCAGAAGGAUCUGAGAGACAGACGUGCAGAGCUUGUGGCUGCAAAGCAACGGGUUGAAGAGGCUGAAAGGUGUGUGGCAGCCAUGCAUCUUGUUGGAAAGAAUCUAACUGACCGUCUCCAUGAAUCUGAAUCUGACCUGGAUUCAUGGGCAAAUGAUCCGGUUGUUUACGCUAACUAGAGCACGCUAUGGUGUGUAAUUAACUAAUCAUUAGCAUAUCGAUUAGGCUAACUGUUUAAAUUUGGUCAAAAAGGAGAAGUGUGUGCGAGUAUUUGUAGUUCAUAGGUUAUGUGUAUUGAACCUUAUUAUGAAUGUGUUGCAUGUAUGGCUCAUCCUUCGUAGUCUUUCUAGUA
This is a long non-coding RNA of Helianthus annuus (common sunflower), 2083 nucleotides long. RefSeq lists it as uncharacterized. The record is from RefSeq and is a predicted model, not a curated record. The transcript has 4 exons. Lineage: Eukaryota; Viridiplantae; Streptophyta; Magnoliopsida; Asterales; Asteraceae.